ACCUGCAGUCGAACGGUGAAGCCCCGCUUGCGGGGUGGAUCAGUGGCGAACGGGUGAGUAACACGUGAGCAACCUGCCCCUGACUCUGGGAUAAGCGCUGGAAACGGCGUCUAAUACUGGAUACGAGACGUGAUCGCAUGGUCAACGUUUGGAAAGAUUUUUCGGUUGGGGAUGGGCUCGCGGCCUAUCAGCUUGUUGGUGAGGUAAUGGCUCACCAAGGCGUCGACGGGUAGCCGGCCUGAGAGGGUGACCGGCCACACUGGGACUGAGACACGGCCCAGACUCCUACGGGAGGCAGCAGUGGGGAAUAUUGCACAAUGGGCGCAAGCCUGAUGCAGCAACGCCGCGUGAGGGAUGACGGCCUUCGGGUUGUAAACCUCUUUUAGCAGGGAAGAAGCGAGAGUGACGGUACCUGCAGAAAAAGCACCGGCUAACUACGUGCCAGCAGCCGCGGUAAUACGUAGGGUGCAAGCGUUAUCCGGAAUUAUUGGGCGUAAAGAGCUCGUAGGCGGUUUGUCGCGUCUGCUGUGAAAUCUGGGGGCUCAACCCCCAGCCUGCAGUGGGUACGGGCAGACUAGAGUGCGGUAGGGGAGAUUGGAAUUCCUGGUGUAGCGGUGGAAUGCGCAGAUAUCAGGAGGAACACCGAUGGCGAAGGCAGAUCUCUGGGCCGUAACUGACGCUGAGGAGCGAAAGGGUGGGGAGCAAACAGGCUUAGAUACCCUGGUAGUCCACCCCGUAAACGUUGGGAACUAGUUGUGGGGUCCAUUCCACGGAUUCCGUGACGCAGCUAACGCAUUAAGUUCCCCGCCUGGGGAGUACGGCCGCA
Molecule: ribosomal RNA, 826 nt
Filed under: Microbacterium sp. TCA3-6_Pa
Lineage: Bacteria; Bacillati; Actinomycetota; Actinomycetes; Micrococcales; Microbacteriaceae
Description: bacterial SSU rRNA
Rfam family: Bacterial small subunit ribosomal RNA
Source: RNAcentral